Dreissena polymorpha is the source of this 289-nucleotide long non-coding RNA. RefSeq lists it as uncharacterized. Lineage: Eukaryota; Metazoa; Mollusca; Bivalvia; Myida; Dreissenidae. The transcript is spliced from 3 exons. The record is from RefSeq and is a predicted model, not a curated record.
AAGGUCAUGAUGCAGUGGAUUUGUUUACCUUGACAUUACUGAAGAUGUGGCUGUUUUCCUGCCUGCAUACAAGUUGAAUGGCUUAUGCUUGAAACGCAAGAAGAUGGAAGUCAAGACUGGUAAGGUUAAAAGGGAGAAACCUACCAUGACGAAAAAGAAGAACAAACAGGUCCCUUGCUACAAUUGCCCAAACUGCAGGGUGUGCUGUUCAUCUGAAGAUGCCCUGCUCGACCAUUUUAUAAGAAAGCAUUCAUCGUGGAAAGUUGAUAGGCCUGACACACUUUACAAU